CCUUUGACGAUUGACUCAUGUUGCCUCGGCGGGUCCUCCCGCCAGAGGAUACAUCAAAACUCCUGUUUUAACGGUGUUGUCUGAGCUACAAGCAACGAAUCAAAACUUUCAACAACGGAUCUCUUGGUUCUGGCAUCGAUGAAGAACGCAGCGAAAUGCGAUAAGUAGUGUGAAUUGCAGAAUUCAGUGAAUCAUCGAAUCUUUGAACGCACAUUGCGCCCCUUGGUAUCCCGAGGGGCAUGCCUGUUCGAGCGUCAUUUCACCACUCAAGCCUGGCUUGGUGUUGGGCGACGUCCCCCUUUAGGGACGCGCCUCGAAACGCUCGGCGGCGUGGCACCGGCUUUAAGCGUAGCAGAAUCUUUCGCUUUGAAAGUCGGGGCCCCGUCUGCCGGAAGACCUACUCACAAGGUUGACCUCGGAUCAGGUAGGGAUACCCGCUGAACUUAAGCAU
RNAcentral lists this unclassified non-coding RNA (451 nucleotides) under uncultured Cenococcum. Its description in RNAcentral is "sequence contains ITS1, 5.8S rRNA gene and ITS2". The stretch from base 104 to 257 matches the Rfam family "5.8S ribosomal RNA". Lineage: Eukaryota; Fungi; Ascomycota; Dothideomycetes; Gloniales; Gloniaceae. The record is from RNAcentral.